AUUGAACGCUGGCGGCACGCCUAACACAUGCAAGUCGAGCGGCAGCAUGCUUAGUAGCAAUACUAAGUGAUGGCGAGCGGCGGACGGGUGAGGAACACGUAGGAACCUGCCCAAGAGAGGGGGACAACCAAGGGAAACUUUGGCUAAUACCGCAUAAUCUCUUAGGAGAAAAGUCGCCCGCAAGGGUGGCGCUUUUGGAGGGGCCUGCGUCCGAUUAGCUAGUUGGUGAGGUAAUAGCUCACCAAGGCGAUGAUCGGUAACUGGUCUGAGAGGACGACCAGUCACACUGGGACUGAGACACGGCCCAGACUCCUACGGGAGGCAGCAGUGGGGAAUCUUGGACAAUGGGGGCAACCCUGAUCCAGCGAUGCCGCGUGGGUGAAGAAGGCCUUCGGGUUGUAAAGCCCUUUAGGCGGGGAAGAAGAAUAUGGGGUUAGCAGCCUUGUAUUUUGACGGUACCCGCAGAAUAAGCACCGGCAAACUCUGUGCCAGCAGCCGCCGUAA
Molecule: ribosomal RNA, 504 nt
Filed under: uncultured bacterium
Lineage: Bacteria
Description: partial 16S ribosomal RNA
Rfam family: Bacterial small subunit ribosomal RNA
Source: RNAcentral